AUGCCUCAGUACGGCGAGUGAGCGGCAAGAGCUCAAAUUUGAAAGCUGGCCCCUUCGGGGUCCGCGUUGUAAUUUGCAGAGGAUGCUUCGGGUGCAGCCCCCGUCUAAGUGCCCUGGAACGGGCCGUCAUAGAGGGUGAGAAUCCCGUCUGGGACGGGGUGUCUGCGUCCGUGUGAAGCUCCUUCGACGAGUCGAGUUGUUUGGGAAUGCAGCUCUAAAUGGGUGGUAAAUUUCAUCUAAAGCUAAAUACUGGCCGGAGACCGAUAGCGCACAAGUAGAGUGAUCGAAAGAUGAAAAGCACUUUGAAAAGAGAGUUAAACAGCACGUGAAAUUGUUGAAAGGGAAGCGUUUGCGACCAGACUCGCCCGCGGGGUUCAGCCGGCAUUCGUGCCGGUGUACUUCCCCGUGGGCGGGCCAGCGUCGGUUUGGGCGGCCGGUCAAAGGCCCUCGGAAUGUAUCACCUCUCGGGGUGUCUUAUAGCCGAGGGUGCAAUGCGGCCUGCCUGGACCGAGGAACGCGCUUCGGCUCGGACGCUGGCGUAAUGGUCGUAAAUGACCCGUCUUG
This 564-nucleotide ribosomal RNA is filed under the name Aspergillus fumigatus. Its description in RNAcentral is "LSU rRNA". It matches the Rfam family "Eukaryotic large subunit ribosomal RNA", at positions 73 to 656 of the family's 3401-position model. The record is from RNAcentral. Lineage: Eukaryota; Fungi; Ascomycota; Eurotiomycetes; Eurotiales; Aspergillaceae.